RNA transcript from Oncorhynchus kisutch (coho salmon), 3951 nucleotides. It is a transcript of the gene named cell adhesion molecule 1, with no coding region annotated. The transcript has 6 exons. The record is from RefSeq and is a predicted model, not a curated record. Lineage: Eukaryota; Metazoa; Chordata; Actinopteri; Salmoniformes; Salmonidae.
AGCUCACAGAGCAACAGAUGUGGCCCACACCCAUUCGAGGGAGAGAGAAAAAAAAACACAUUGCGCAUGGGUCUCCAACUUAACACCACUGUCAACUUAACAGCAAAGCAGUUGCACAAAUUCAUCAAGAAAAGGGAGUUAACGAAAAACGUAUUGUUUGACUUGGAAUGGCACUGACUGACAUCAUCAUGAAGGCAUCAACCACAGCAGGUCCGGCAAUAACCAUGACAUCGCCAGAAGCCUUCGAACAAGGAAUCAUUGAGGACGUCACCCGUCUGGUCACACAGAAUUUCACAGAACACUUCACACAACCCUUCAGAGCUGGAGUUCUGACAACAACUUCUGCAGAUAUGACUGAAACAAACUCAGCCGCUUUUUUAGUGGGAGCCGCCCACGUAGAGGAUGGAUCCUUUGAAGCCAUUUUCGGAGUGGAAGAGUUGAGCUCUCCAACAGCAUCCAUCUGUGAUGAGCAUGUCCUGCACUGAAACCUAGCCACUGAACACCUCUACCCCUGUCCUGCACUGAAACCUAGCCACUGAACACCUCUACCCCUGUCCUGCACUGAAACCUAGCCACUGAACACCUCUACCCCUGUCCUGCACUGAAACCUAGCCACUGAACACCUCUACCCUGUCCUGCACUGAAACCUAGCCACUGAACACCUCUACCCCUGACCUGCACUGAAACCUAGCCACUGAACACCUCUACCCUGUCCUGCACUGAAGCCUCUGAACACCUCAAACCCUGACCUGCACUGAAGUCAAGCCUCUCGAACAACUCAGCUCAUGUCUUAUAACCUCAUUCAGUCACUGCUGUGAUCCCUUCCCAACACUAUCAAGUGCUUGGCUCGAUAUGGCUACUCGGAUCUGAGUAAAGGGUAAGGGCCACUUCUGGAUUUAACAAUGGAUUUAAUCCCUUCCUUUCUCUGUGAACCAGACAACCCCGGACUUCCCCUCUCUGCCUCAAAGAGAAGUAAACACAAACAACGUGUUGCAAAUGAAACGAUGCCAAAUCGCAACCUUCGGCAGCCAUUUUGAUUGGCGGUAAGCUCCUGUAACUGUUCCCAGACCUAUGUGACAGUAUCAGAUUUAGCUAGGUUGUUGUUGUUUUUCCACGAGUGCUGCACCCUUAUAAGUACAGCACCAAUUGACGGCUGGACAAGGCGGCCAUCCAACAGCUUAAGUUCUGAUCUUCAAGCCAGUUGAGUCUUUUGAAGAUUCAGUGCUUCAGUCAGUGUUUCCGUAAAAUGAAGGGCGAGAGCAGAGAAAGACAUUAUGCUCACUUCAAAAGAAGCAUCAUCCACUCCAACUCGUCAGACCAGACUCCAACACUGUCAGAAGGCAUCAGUAUCAGGAAAACAGUAAUGCUGUGAACAUGAAUAACCAUGGUCAGUGGUUUUCAGAUAUACAUAUAAAUGGAUUGUGUAGAACGGUCAUAUAGCGCCAAAUUCCUCAGCCUCUGUUCUUCUAAAUUGCCGACCUGCCCAACAAGGGUUCUGGUUUUCACCUCUAGGGGCAGAAUCCCUUGCUCUAAUAAGAAUGUAAUGUCAGUCAAUAACUGCAGGGUGAGCAGAGGUGACCAGGGGGGGUAGCUAUUACUUGAGGGUAGAGACCAGGCAGCGAAGGUACAUUUUCCACCUAAUUCAUGCCUCAAACCUAUUAAAUCUGAGUAUUGUAUUGGAUACUCUCUCUCAGCUAAUUUGUUUACAUUUCCCAUCGUGCAACCUAAACUGUCCUUGGUUACGAAACUCACAAACAAGUACAUCUUAGUCCCUUCAUGCCAACAAAUACUUCCAAACAGAUGACAUAUAAAUGGCAUUUUCUUUUGUUUUUCCUUCAAAGCACAUCAGUUUUCUGAAGCACUAUAUCAUGGAUUCAGGUACAGAAAGAUGCGAUAAUUGAGAAGAAUGCAAAAUGACACAGCACUCAUUUCACUUUAUGAAGCUGGUUAUAGAACUAAAUGCUACCCAGUAAAAGUUCAAUGAGUAACAUUUAAAACUGUUUUCAACAGAUUUACUAGUGUAUUAAAAUCACCUCUGCGUGUCUUGUUAAACACUAUGGGAACAAUCUUUGAUUUGCCAUCUAGAACUGGGAACUAACCACAGUUUUACCCUGUCCCCUGCCAAACAAUAUAAACAUCUCUGAAUUGUAUAACUCUAAAUGUGCAAUUCUUUAAUUAGCUCAUGUUAAGAGUGCAGUUUUGUUAAUGUUGCAUGUUUAUUUCUUGACAUGUCAGAUAGAGCUAAACUGAAUUCUACCUUCACAAUAACCCUAUAAUUUGUAUCAUACUACAGCUAUUUUAACAGCAUUUUAUAAAUCAUAUUUCAGAUUGAAGUAGAAUUUCAGAUCUGAACUCCAUCAUGACAAUAAUGGAACCGUGCUUCAAAUGAAUGUCAAAACAGAGAGGGUUUUUAUCAACUCCAUUUGUUCUCACUACAAACAGUCGAUUCUUCAUUUUAAUUCAUACAAUUUACAUGCCCUCUGCAAUCUACAUAAUUACAGUGCUACCGAGACAGCUUCACUAACUAAGGUCUGUGUGUCAGUUUCCUGUAUGUUAUCCGGACAGACUUUCUUUAUUUCAAGUCAAACUUUAAUUUAACUGGAUGUAUUUUUGACCGUAAAAGUCAUUUAAUGGUGCCAGAUUGUGGUAUAUCAUAAAUAGCUGCUUACUUGUUAUUGGUUUGUUUAUAAGCACCAACAACAGAGGCUCUAUGGUAACGAAAUAGGUUUCCCCAUGUGUUAAUUUGUUCUUCGCUAUGGCAGAAACUUUCCCUCCAGUGGCUAUGACGGUGAUUUCAAAUACUUGCUUGGAUGGGACACUUUAAUAGGCAGCUAUGCCAAAUGAUUUCUGGUGAGUGCUGUUAAUAAGGGGGAAACAGACGCAGAAAAACAGGCACAAAAUAACCAACUGGUGUUAGUUCUGGAAUUGCACUCAAUUUAAGCUCUGUGUUUUUAUCACUGUGUUUCUCAACAUACAUUUGUCACCAUUUUUAUUCAAUUAAGCUUUAGGACCACAGUAAUGUUGACUGAUUUCAUGUGCUCAAAGUUUCCAUUAGAGUGUCAAUCCCAAUACAUUGCUUCAGUCGACAAUUGGGCAAAAACUUUGUCGAUAUGUGGAUCCACACAUAAACAGUGGUUAUGAAAGAUGUAGGAACGCUAUGUCUUUGCCAGCAGCUGAAUAUAUGAAGCCAAAAUACAUUGCGAUUGACUGAUUAAUCAACAGGAACAAGAACAGAGAUAACUUUUCAACCCCAAUCCUCUAUUCAGUGUUUACUGACAAGGUGUAGGAGUAAAGGGUGACAGAUUGAACAGUAAUGAAGGGUAUAGAUUGAACUCCUACUUUUUCAAAGACGUUAACUUGCCACCACGGCCAAGUCGAAGCUGUCAGCUAUUCUGUGGUGUGCUUCACUGUCCUUUCUGUGGCUGUUUGUUUUUACUGACACUAUUUCAAUGUGUGUGCUGCAGAUGGUUCAUGCUCCGUGGUCAAUGUGGUCGGUCAGAGGCUGUGUGUGUUUUUCCACUCCCUGUCAGACAGCAACACCUGGGCGACCCAACCAAACCAAUCACAGUCUGGGGUGUCAACAACACUGCAGCCUGAGUACAGGACAUAUCGACGUGUUAGCAAACAUUGGCCUCCCUGGCCCAGUCCACAUGAUUGGUCGUAGCAAAGUCAUGAUACAGUGAGGCUCUAUUUUAUUCUAUCCUAUUCUAUUAGUUUCUAUUCUAUGUGAUUAUAAUCAUGUCCCUUGUGUCUCCUUGAAGUUGUCAAAUUUUUACCAGUAAGUCCCUAAUGGCAGUGUUAAUCAUUCACUUCAGUUUCUCUCAGAAUUUAAUGAUUCAAUAUGAUCAUGUCCUGGAAAUACUGUCCUACUACUAGGAUCCAUUGGCCAAGCUAAGCCGUCACAGAGGAAAGAGGAGAUGGAAUAAAACAAGGCAUUUUACAAUAACUGUC